Long non-coding RNA from Haliotis rubra (blacklip abalone), 99 nucleotides. RefSeq lists it as uncharacterized. The transcript is spliced from 4 exons. Lineage: Eukaryota; Metazoa; Mollusca; Gastropoda; Lepetellida; Haliotidae. The record is from RefSeq and is a predicted model, not a curated record.
AUCCAACUUGACAAUGGAUGACCUGGUAUCUGGGAGCUGAUCUUUUAGAAUUGAAUAUACCUUCUUCCAGAGACCUUGACCAUGGCCUUGGGUGUAAAA